Molecule: long non-coding RNA, 1195 nt
Organism: Cydia splendana
Lineage: Eukaryota; Metazoa; Arthropoda; Insecta; Lepidoptera; Tortricidae
Exons: 2
Source: RefSeq, a predicted model, not a curated record
UUAAUAGUGCGCUCACAUCACAAAAGUUUCGCGACUGCCUCUUCGCCGGCUAGUAAUAUUACAUAGUUAUGUUGUAUGGUAUGGUGUUGUUUUAGGCAUAGAAUGUACAAAUACCUCAUAAAAUAAUUAGUAUCCAUUACAGUUGAUACAAAAAAAAACAUUUCGAUAUUUUUUUUACGCAAAGGGCUCGAAACAUGAUUAUGCCGCUUUAGAAAAUUGUUCGUGAUAAUGAUAAUAUAAAAACCAUGUGUCUUAAUUGUUAUGCUUAAUAUUUUAUACGUAUUCAAAAAUAAGAGGUAUUUGCACACAAAAUUAUCGAUGAUUGGCGAGUGUGCAAAAAUGCAAAUAGUUGGUGUUCACUUGCAAUUGAAUGAAUAUUGUACAACGCACAAAAUUUGUGAAGUGUAAGCUGGUCCCACGCCAGUGGAUUAGGUUUCGUGUAAAGCCUAUCAUUGAGGUACUUAAAUUUUUAAACCCAGGGACGGUGAUAGGUGAUCUAGAGAAAAUUCUUGCACCGAACAUUUCUAGUUCUCUUUUUCUCCAACAAUUCGAAGAUAAUAUCACUUCUGGCAGCUGAACUUUUUCGAUGUAUACAAAUCUUCAUCAGACCAAUAUUGGUGGAAGUAAUUGUCACAACUAACAUUAUGCUUGAAUAUUACUAAAUUUGGAGUGUAAAUAUAUCUGUAUAUAUCUGAUUUAACAUGUGGCGUUAAUCUAGUGCCUUUAACUGACGUUUUGUCAUCCUGCAACAAGGGUGAUUUCUUUAUGUUUUUACCAAAGAAGUAGUAGUUUUCAGUUAUGUAUGAUAAUGAUAUGUUAUUAACAAGCACACGACGUACCUAGAUCAGACAUUGUGAACUAUACCCGUCCUACCUGGCGAGCCGUCAAUGCCAAUACUUAUAGUACGAUAAGAGAAAAUGAAUUUAAUGAUGUCGAGAUUUAUUUAGACUAAAUUGUAAGUAUAUUUACGUAAGUGCCUACUUUAAGUAAAUAUUUUUAUAUGGAUUGUGUGGUUACACAAAUGUUUUAUAUUUAUAUAUAUAAAUCGGUGCCAACGUAAAUAUAUUGUUGUAAUUUGUUAUGUAGUGAUAUAAUUUUAUGAUGUAUCGUUGUCUCUGAGGGCGCCCGCGCCGCGAGCUUUAACGAGGAAUGUGCAAUCGCUGUUCUAUUGGAAUACAGUUUGGAAACAAAACCA